AUUCCCAGAUGACAUCACCGACACACUAGAUGAUGAAGCAGAAUCCAGUAAUUCAGUUUAACAACUAUUUACUGGUCACCAAGGAUGAGUAAGGUAGUAUGUCAGGUGGUUCUGGAGACACAAACAUGAAUAAGUAUGUUCCUUUCCUAAAGAAGCUCAAAAGCUAGUAGGGGAAGCAGUCACGGGAGAGAACAAAGGCACUGAAGGACAGCUUGGAGAUCCAGCUUGACAAACUUAUUUCUGAGGACAACAGACAGCCCCUGGGUUUAGCACUCCAUAUAGUUUCAUUGUUAUUUUUCAUUUGUGUGUGGAGGAUGGGAAGACACUGAAGUUUUAGGGAGCUGAAGCAGGCUGGAGUGAUUUGAUCCAGGCCUAGCAGCAUAGAUGGUGAAGAUUUUAUCGCAAAGUAAAUGUCAGCCACAAGUGGGCAUCAAGGAUAGGUACGGGAACAGCAGGAGCUUGUUCAGGAAAGAGAAGGGAAUGAACACUCAUGGAAUGUCCACACUGGGUCUGGCUCUUUGCUGCAUUAUCUCAUUCAGUUUUUACAGUUCUUUGAGUCCAGCUUAAUUGCAGCAAGCUUUUACGGAAGUCUUCUCCACGUUCUUCUUCUAGCAUAUCUAAAGCUUAUAGUUUUGAGAAAGAGAUGAGAAGGAAAACAGCAAUAUUUCAUAAAACAUCAAAGAAG
Canis lupus familiaris (dog) is the source of this 685-nucleotide long non-coding RNA. RefSeq lists it as uncharacterized. NCBI's taxonomy places the organism in Eukaryota, Metazoa, Chordata, Mammalia, Carnivora, Canidae. The transcript is spliced from 3 exons. The record is from RefSeq and is a predicted model, not a curated record.